RNAcentral lists this ribosomal RNA (253 nucleotides) under uncultured bacterium. RNAcentral describes it as "partial 16S ribosomal RNA". It matches the Rfam family "Bacterial small subunit ribosomal RNA", at positions 524 to 776 of the family's 1533-position model. The record is from RNAcentral.
UACAGAGGUCUCAAGCGUUGUUCGGAUUCAUUGGGCGUAAAGGGUGCGUAGGCGGCGCGGUAAGUCGGGUGUGAAAUCUCGGAGCUUAACUCCGAAACUGCAUUCGAUACUGCCGUGCUUGAGGACUGGAGAGGAGACUGGAAUUUACGGUGUAGCAGUGAAAUGCGUAGAUAUCGUGAGGAAGACCAGUGGCGAAGGCGGAUCUCUGGACAGUUCCUGACGCUGAGGCGCGAAGGCCAGGGGAGCAAACGGG